AGUGGCCUGAAUGAGCUCACUUAGCUGUGAUGGAGAGGAAAUGUUUUUGAGAAACAUUUAGAUUCUAAAUGAUCUUCUAGCAUCUGUCCUGGAAGUUUAAAGUUAUUUCAAAAUAAAUUAAAAAAUCUCCUGGAUAAAAUGCUCUUUCUUCUAAAGAUAAAAAGCUCAUGACUUGGGGAAGCAGCUGUGGCUCAAGCAAUUGAGCUCCUGUUUACCAUAUGGAGGACCUGGGUUCGAUCCCUGGGAUCUCCUGGUCAAAAAGGAAAAAAAGGUAUCCCAGACUUGUGCAGAGAGACCCAGGCUCCCAUGUGCCAAGAAGAGGAUGAUGCAACUGUAUAGGAAAAGAAAAGAUCAUGACUUGAGUGAACAGCUUUUGCAGGGCAGUGGCCAAGUGCUCCUGAGCACUAUACAGCUGCUCUUCAACUGGGUGGAUCCGACAGUUCCAGGAGGCUGCCUCAGCCUCAGCCUGUUCCCGGACCUGCUUUUCUCCCUCCACUUUCCAUUGGAGACCCCCAGCUCUCUCAGCAUCAUCCAUCAUUGGCUGGCCGCUGUAGAACCUGGAUCUUGCACUUCACUGCCUCGAUGGUGAUGAUCCCGGUGAUGACGCCCAUCCAACAACUGCUCCCGGCUAGGUUUCCUGCCUCCUCAGCUUGCAGCAGCUUCUCACCCUUCCUUCCCAACAAAUGUAUAUUUGAAGGCUGGUUAGGAUAUCACCUUUUUUUUUCCUUCCAAGUUAGGAGAACUGUAUUAAAUUGUUAAGUGUGGUGAUAAGAGGAUAUCUUUGUUGCUUUUAUAAUAAUUCUAAUGUGAUAUUGCCUGAAUUGGGGGUGGGGGGUGGGCAGACACUCCUUAGGCUCUUCUUUUAACUGUGCUACAAUCAAGGGUUCAGCAAACUUCAAGGACACUCGGUUGUUGACUUAGAGAAAGUUCAAACUCCUUAGAGAAAGGCAUUCAUUGAAGACUCUCUACAAUUGCUUACAACCUACCUUUCAAAUUAUAACUCCACUGCCACUCCAAAAUGAAUCUGUAGUUAAAUUGGUGUGCUCACUAUCUCCUGAGUAUGUUUUAUUUUUCCACUUGGAUACCUUUCCUUUAGACAUGCACUGUUCUAUAUGGUAGUCACUAAUCACAAGUAACUGAGUCCCUGAAAUGUGGCUAAACUGGAGG
This 1167-nucleotide long non-coding RNA is filed under the name Dasypus novemcinctus (nine-banded armadillo). RNAcentral describes it as "lncRNA (ENSDNOG00000052609.1)". Lineage: Eukaryota; Metazoa; Chordata; Mammalia; Cingulata; Dasypodidae. The record is from RNAcentral.